UUGUGGAGGAGGACGCCGAAGGUGGGGCUAAUGACUGGGGUGAAGUCGUAACAAGGUAGCCGUACCGGAAGGUGCGGCUGGAUCACCUCCUAACAGGGAGACAACAAAAUGUUUAAUAUUAUUAUUUUGUCACCUUAGGUCGAUCGGUAUCUCACGUUUUUAAUUUAUUAAGAAUUUCAUUUCCUAAGUUUUUCUAGGUCACACCCAUUUUUUUUCCUGGGCCAUUAGCUCAGGUGGUUAGAGCGCACCCCUGAUAAGGGUGAGGUCCCUGGUUCAAGUCCAGGAUGGCCCAUAUCUCUAUGUUGGGGGUAUAGCUCAGUUGGUAGAGCGCCUGCUUUGCAAGCAGGAUGUCAGCGGUUCGAGUCCGCUUACCUCCACUGAUCACCACCUCUUCCAUAAUCGAUAAAAAGGAAAUUUUUUGAGCUGUGAUCAAAUUCUGAAAGAAUCUAGCUUCCUAAUGAAAUCAUUAAGAUGCUGGACUCAUUGAAUUAAUUUCAUUGUUUUCAGAGAACCUUGACAACUGCAUAGAUUAUUUUUAAAGACAAUAAGCAUCUUUAAUGAUGCAGAUUUAUUAUUUGUGCAAAUGCAUUAAUAACAAUUCUAUUAAGCUGAUGCUUCAAUAUUUGAAGUUAUUGGUCAAGCUACAA
This 647-nucleotide unclassified non-coding RNA is filed under the name uncultured Prochlorococcus sp. RNAcentral describes it as "partial 16S-23S ribosomal RNA intergenic spacer; may also contain 16S ribosomal RNA and 23S ribosomal RNA". The stretch from base 305 to 377 matches the Rfam family "tRNA". The record is from RNAcentral. Lineage: Bacteria; Bacillati; Cyanobacteriota; Cyanophyceae; Synechococcales; Prochlorococcaceae.